AAAGUGCGAUAAGCAAUGCGAAUUGCAGAAUUCCGCGAAUCAUCAGAUCCUUGAACGCAACUGGCGCUAGGAGGCUCCCCUCCUAGCAUGUCUGUUUCAGUGUCUGAAAACAUCCAAACUCUAACUUAAUGUAGUUGACUACUAAUUUUUAAUUAGUUUGUCUCCUAUUAAAGAUGUACAUGUGGGUUUUUGGACCCCUCAUCAAAUUGGUCACUGCUUCUACAGUGAUUUUGAUAGGGCGUAAACAAUUACCAGUAUACAUGUAGAAAUUAAUCGGGUAGUAUAUGAUCUUUUAGAUCACUGCCCGCAACUUUCAACUCUGCAUCUGAAAUCAGGCAAGAUCACCCGCUGAACUUAAGC
This 360-nucleotide unclassified non-coding RNA is filed under the name plant metagenome. RNAcentral describes it as "partial contains 5.8S ribosomal RNA, internal transcribed spacer 2, and large subunit ribosomal RNA". The stretch from base 1 to 105 matches the Rfam family "5.8S ribosomal RNA", at positions 50 to 154 of the family's 154-position model. The record is from RNAcentral.